Molecule: transfer RNA, 65 nt
Filed under: Hydrochus sp. BMNH1425167
Lineage: Eukaryota; Metazoa; Arthropoda; Insecta; Coleoptera; Hydrochidae
Description: tRNA-Ser
Source: RNAcentral
AGUUAAUGAGCUUGAUAAAGUUUAUAUUUUGAAAAUAUAAGAUAGAGAAAUAUCUCUAUUAACUU